Sphaeramia orbicularis (orbiculate cardinalfish) is the source of this 126-nucleotide long non-coding RNA. RefSeq lists it as uncharacterized. The transcript is spliced from 3 exons. The record is from RefSeq and is a predicted model, not a curated record. NCBI's taxonomy places the organism in Eukaryota, Metazoa, Chordata, Actinopteri, Kurtiformes, Apogonidae.
UGUGAUUUAUGCUUGUGUUACGGGUACCGCAGCGGCAGCACCGCGUAAACAGAUAUAUUCCUGAAAAACAAGAUAAUAAGGAUGAGGCAGGGCAACAGCAUGUUGUUUUCUCUGAGUCCUCUGCAG